Molecule: non-coding RNA, 1744 nt
Organism: Labrus bergylta (ballan wrasse)
Lineage: Eukaryota; Metazoa; Chordata; Actinopteri; Labriformes; Labridae
Source: RefSeq, a predicted model, not a curated record
AAUCACAGAAGAUCUGCAUAAGCUCUCCCGUGAGUUGAUAACAGAUAUUUUAGACCUGGCAGAGAAUGUUGACGCUGGAAUUUCGGACCCUGAACAUGUGGCUAGCAAAGCAGAGGGAUUUAUUGAAGUUCUUGGAGUUAUUUCCGGUCUCUCUGACCAAGAUAUUGACCGAAGAGUGUUCGCAAACUUAGAAGAAGUUCUCCAGCGCUUCUCCCGUACGGGGCCGCAGCACACACCCGGAGCAGGGCGCCCGGCUUUUGACAUCCCCACUGCCGCUCUACAGCAUCAUGUCCGGUGUGGGCUACCAGCGAGUGAAAUUGCCGAGAGGUUUGGAGUUUCGAAGAGGACAAUCAGAAGGCACAUGAAACAUAGUGGCCUAAGGUAUUCACAGAAAGACAGAUCUCUACACACCUGUUGCUGAUGAGGAGUUGGACCGUAUUGUAAGUCCACAGAAGCCAUCCAAACACCGGCUACAAGCUAAUGCGUGGAUAUUUGAAUGCUAGAGGUGUGCAUGUUCCAAUCUCAAGACUGAGAGAGUCUUUGCACAGAGUGGAUGCUGAGGGAGUGUACAUGAGACGUCUACGGCUGCAUGUAAUAAGACGACGGCAGUAUUCUGUUCCUGGCCCAAACUCUUUAUGGCACAUAGAUGGUCACCACAUGCUUAUAAGGUGGAGAUUUGUUGUCCAUGGUGGGGUGGACGGAUUCAGUCGACUGGUGGUCUACCUGAAUGUGGCUGGCAAUAAUAGGGCUAGCACUGUCCUACAGAGCUUUAUCAAUGCCGUUCAGCAGUACGGGCUGCCGUCAAGGGUACGGUCUGAUAAAGGAAGAGAGAAUUCAGACGUAGCAGAAUUCAUGAUCAGGAGCAGAGGUACCAACAGGAACUCUCACAUCACAGGCAGAAGUGUACACAAUCAGCGAAUAGAGAGGAUGUGGAGAGAUGUUUAUGAGCAUGCCCUAGACCUCUUCUAUCAGAUCUUCACUUCAUUGGAAGAUCAGGGGACACUCAAUCCAGACAACGAAGUCCAUCUUUAUGCCCUGCACCAAAUCUUCCUUCCCCAAAUUUAGAGAACCCUCAGCUCCUUCAGAGAUGCUUGGAACUUUCAUGGACUUAGAACUGAAAGGAAUCAAUCACCUAAUGAACUCUGGAGAAGAUACAGAGAGCAAGGCCCCAUGGAGGAUCCUGCAGAGGUUUACGAAGACUAUGGGAUCGACUGGAAUGGGCCUCACAAUCAGCAUGGAGACACUGUGUCAGUUCCUGAGAUUCAGAUGGCCCGUGAGCUCUCAGAUGAAGAGGUUGCCAUUUUGCCAGUUUCAGGAGUUUCUUUAAAUGAUGCAAUUGGAUCAUAUUUGGAGACAGUGCAAGUUUUGUCAAGAAUCAUUGGAAACUGAUACCUUAACCAGGCUUUAUAUUUUAUUUAUUAAGCAUGUGCAAAUGUCACUCAUGAAUUAGUUAACUUGAUUUGUCAAUACAAAUCUGAAAUAAUAAUAUGCUGUUUUAAUGCAAAUAAAACCAAUUUUUCUAGCAUAAAGAGACAUUGCAACAACCUCAUGUAGCCAAUGACAACAGGCAAGGACAGCAAGGUAAUGCACACUUAAGUAUCAAACAGUUGACAGAAGAGCAACAACAAAGCAGUAUCAUUUUCAGGGAAAGAAAAUACUACACUGUAUUUUAAAUGUUAGAAAAACACUGAACUCACUUCACUCAAAUUGACCUUUUCUACUGAAUAAAAGCACAGCAACAUCA